GUAAAGCAGAUCUGCAGACUCGCAGGUCUAUCCGGCCCGCAAUCAAUUGCUAUCUGGGAAGAACAUAAAGUCGAUGGACUGAUGUUUAAAACAAUGAAACCUAUAGUUAGAGAUGUGCAUCUCCAUCUCUGAGGUGAUGCGAUACACAUCUUGAUGAUCCAACUGUAGGAGAACAUGCAGAAGGUGGAGGAGAUCAGCAAGAUGGUCAUGGAGAAGGAGCACCACAAGCUGGAGCACCCCAGCACCAGAGAGGGCCACAUUCUUAUUAGGGGGAGGCCUGGACAACUAACCAUGCAUCUUAUGGAGGAGCAUUUGGUGGUGGAACCCACGUCUAUCGAGUACUUCCUGCUCACACACAGGAGCUUCCUCCGGCCCCCUGGUUCUGGCAAUGAAACUUUUAGAAUGGUUUAACAAUCUCAGCCUCAGGGACAAGGUUACCCAGAUGGAAAAUGAACAGGCAAUUGAGACUACUGCAUAUUGCCUGCACUGUCAAGGCCAAAGUGAUGCUUGUAAUAAUCACCAGACCCUCGAGGGACACCCCCCUGUCCUGCAUGUUCCUGGGCGGCUCUGCAAAGGAUGGUAGCAGGGCCUCAGAACCGGGCCUGACGCGUGGCGAUCAGAGGUGCCGCAAGGGGAUUGUGGUUUAUUGGGGAGCAUGAGUGAAUCUACAUAUAAUAGGAGAAAUGCUUAGUGACCAGAUUUCUCUGAAGUCUGAGAUGGGCUUUCAGACAGGGAGUAAGUAUUUGGACACUGAGGUGAGGAUCAGGGAAAUAGGACAGCAAACACAAUAACACCCGAGCGACACUAAACACUACCAGAGCUAAUAUAAAUACUAAUAUAUACAUAGUCUGACACAGUAAUCAACAACGAAUGGACUAAGGAACUGUAUGCAAGUGGGUUCUUAUAUACAGGGAUGAGCUAGGACCAGCUAUUGACCUCAUGUAUAACGACGUGCCUAGAAUUCACACAAAAAAAUGGCGUACGGACAAAACUAUUGAUAUGCGUAUACGUAACAAAAAAUCCAGAUGCACAAAACUCUGUGUAAUCACAGAUCUACGCACAUUCCCUUCAUAAAUCCCAAAUAGCGUGAAAUUUUACGCACGUGAAAGAGCCAAAAGCCACCCCCCCAUAAUUAUGUAUAUGUGCAUAUGUAAAUCUGUAUAAGUACCCGCACUGUUCUGUGUUUUUCUUAAACAACAAUGGAUAAACCACGUGGGGAAAAGAAAUAUUUCAGCGAGUGUGAAGUGGAGGUAAUGUUAACAGAAAUCGAGAAAAGAAAAGUGAUAUUAUUUGGUGGUUUAAGUAGUGGCAAUAGCAAUAAACGAAAGUUGACGGAGUGCCAAAGCUUGGCGGAGUCAGUUAAAAGUGUUGGCUCCGAAAAUCGCACGGUGGCUGAAAUUAAAAUGGUCGAAUAUUAAAGUUGCCGCGAAAAAACCAGCCGCUCACCGUAAGAGUCUUAACAGCACAGGCGGAGGUAGCGGAAUUCCCGGUCUCACACUUUUAUCAGGGGAGGGGGACGCCGAUGUCAGCAGUUUUUCUCUUACCAUUCUUGUUUGAAUUAUUUGCAUGUUUAUGAAUAACAAGUAGGACGCAGAUGCGGUGUUACUUUUGUUUAUUCUUACAGACAAUAGUACAAGAGGUGCCCCCAGUGCCGAGGACGA
This is a long non-coding RNA of Paramormyrops kingsleyae, 1661 nucleotides long. RefSeq lists it as uncharacterized. The record is from RefSeq and is a predicted model, not a curated record. NCBI's taxonomy places the organism in Eukaryota, Metazoa, Chordata, Actinopteri, Osteoglossiformes, Mormyridae.